CUAGGCUAAAUAUGACCACGAGACCGAUAGCGAACAAGUACCGUGAGGGAAAGUUGAAAAGCACUUUGAAGAGAGAGUUCAAGAGUACGUGAAACCGUUUAGGGGUAAACCUGAGAAACCCGAAAGGUCGAAGGAAGAAAUUCAUUCGCGUUUCGUCGCAGGCGUGGAGCGGGAUCGUGUGACGGGAAGCGUUCGCGUUUCCCGCGCCUUCCGUUCUUCGAACCGGUGACGAACGCGUGCACUUUUCUUCUGGUAGGACGUCGCGAUCCGUUGGGUGUCGGUCUACGGCUCGCGGUGGAGCCCGUUCGUCGUAUUUCUCGUACGUACGGACGGACCCGCGUGUCCCGGCUGACUCGCUCGACGGUAUACGAAAGGUUUAAGGCCGCUCUCGGAGCGUUCGGCUCGUGGCAAGCGCGCCAGAUGUGUCGGCGAUCGGACCUAGUGCCGAUUCUGACCUCUGGUGACUGUUGGCCGCGAAGUUCUCGAACAGACCUUAAGACCGAUCUGCGACGCUAUAGCUUUGGGUACUUUCAG
RNAcentral lists this ribosomal RNA (534 nucleotides) under Pleurocleonus sp. CNC COL VG00010027. Its description in RNAcentral is "partial 28S ribosomal RNA". It matches the Rfam family "Eukaryotic large subunit ribosomal RNA", at positions 311 to 645 of the family's 3401-position model. The record is from RNAcentral. Lineage: Eukaryota; Metazoa; Arthropoda; Insecta; Coleoptera; Curculionidae.